Molecule: long non-coding RNA, 208 nt
Filed under: Mytilus galloprovincialis (Mediterranean mussel)
Lineage: Eukaryota; Metazoa; Mollusca; Bivalvia; Mytilida; Mytilidae
Source: RNAcentral
UGCUUAUGUGAUUACAAAUCCGGUAAAUAGUCUAGUUCGGUAGGUCACAUUCAUGAAAGGGAAGGGGAUUGUAGUUACGACGUAAGGAACAUAUCCGAUAUCAUUUGUGAAACGGUUAUUCCAUAAAAGCAUUUAUAAUAUUAAAGUUAUAAAAAGGCAUAAUUGAGAUAUUUUCAACACAAAUUUAUAACUGUUUCUGAUUCGAAAU